Brugia pahangi is the source of this 672-nucleotide non-coding RNA. The record is from the annotation of a GenBank genome assembly. Lineage: Eukaryota; Metazoa; Nematoda; Chromadorea; Rhabditida; Onchocercidae.
UAAGUUUGAUUUUGGUUUUAGUUGUAUUAAGAUAAUAUUACUUAUUUUUAGUUUAUUUAAUGUGUAAUUUUUUAUCCACUGGUAGUUUUUUAAUUGUUUUAUAAGUGUUCCAGAAUAAUCGGCUAUACAUUUUAAUUUUUAACUCUAUUUGUUGUUUUGUCUUUUUUUUUAUUUUUGUUUUUAUGUUAUUUUUGUAAAAUGUUUUAGUUUUUAUAUUUUUUAAAAAGACAUUUAAAAUUUGUUUUUUGAACUGGAUUAGUACCCAGGUAAUCAAAAUUAAUUAAUUCGGGAGUAAAGUUUUGUUUAAACCGAAAAAAUAUUGACUGACCUUGGAUUUUUCUUUGGAAUAUGCGUAUGGAGAGCCCUCUUUUUUGGUGAGUCUUAUCGGCACAUGUAUGAUUGUUUAGUUUUUAUUUUAUUUGUAAUGCUUUUUAUGUUUUGUCAUUUAAAACAGAUAUAUAUUUGGCUUAUGGACUUAUAAUCGUGUGUUACUAUUAUUAAUUUUUUUUGGAUUAUUUUUUUAUUUUUUUUUGAAAUUGGAAAAGAAAGUAAUUUUUUUUUUAUAUGAAGAUGAAUUUAAUAAAUAAGGUGGUACAAACCAUCCGUCAAUGGCCUACAGGGGCGUAAGUUGUAGUAUGGUAGAGGUAAGGAAACUUGUCUCUAUUUUUUAAA